This 817-nucleotide ribosomal RNA is filed under the name uncultured bacterium. Its description in RNAcentral is "bacterial SSU rRNA". It matches the Rfam family "Bacterial small subunit ribosomal RNA", at positions 8 to 808 of the family's 1533-position model. The record is from RNAcentral.
AGAGUUUGAUCCUGGCUCAGGACGAACGCUGGCGGCGUGCCUAAUACAUGCAAGUAGAACGCUGAAGAGAGGAGCUUGCUCUUCUUGGAUGAGUUGCGAACGGGUGAGUAACGCGUAGGUAACCUGCCUUGUAGCGGGGGAUAACUAUUGGAAACGAUAGCUAAUACCGCAUAACAAUGGAUGACACAUGUCAUUUAUUUGAAAGGGGCAAUUGCUCCACUACAAGAUGGACCUGCGUUGUAUUAGCUAGUAGGUGAGGUAACGGCUCACCUAGGCGACGAUACAUAGCCGACCUGAGAGGGUGAUCGGCCACACUGGGACUGAGACACGGCCCAGACUCCUACGGGAGGCAGCAGUAGGGAAUCUUCGGCAAUGGGGGCAACCCUGACCGAGCAACGCCGCGUGAGUGAAGAAGGUUUUCGGAUCGUAAAGCUCUGUUGUAAGUCAAGAACGAGCGUGAGAGUGGAAAGUUCACACUGUGACGGUAGCUUACCAGAAAGGGACGGCUAACUACGUGCCAGCAGCCGCGGUAAUACGUAGGUCCCGAGCGUUGUCCGGAUUUAUUGGGCGUAAAGCGAGCGCAGGCGGUUUGAUAAGUCUGAAGUUAAAGGCUGUGGCUCAACCAUAGUUCGCUUUGGAAACUGUCAAACUUGAGUGCAGAAGGGGAGAGUGGAAUUCCAUGUGUAGCGGUGAAAUGCGUAGAUAUAUGGAGGAACACCGGUGGCGAAAGCGGCUCUCUGGUCUGUAACUGACGCUGAGGCUCGAAAGCGUGGGGAGCGAACAGGAUUAGAUACCCUGGUAGUCCACGCCGUAAACG